GUAGGGUGCGAGCGUUAAUCGGAAUUACUGGGCGUAAAGCGUGCGCAGGCGGUUUUGUAAGUCAGAUGUGAAAGCCCCGGGCUCAACCUGGGAACUGCGUUUGAAACUACAAGGCUAGAGUGUAGCAGUGGGGGGUAGAAUUCCACGUGUAGCAGUGAAAUGCGUAGAGAUGUGGAGGAAUACCGAUGGCGAAGGCAGCCCCCUGGGUUAACACUGACGCUCAUGUACGAAAGCGUGGGGAGCAAACAGGAUUAGAUACCCUGGUAGUCCACGUCCUAAACGAUGUCAACUAGUUGUCGGGAGAGGAGACUUUCUUGGUAACGUAGCUAACGCGUGAAGUUGACCUUCUGGGGAGUACGGUCGCAAGAUUA
RNAcentral lists this ribosomal RNA (371 nucleotides) under uncultured bacterium. RNAcentral describes it as "bacterial SSU rRNA". It matches the Rfam family "Bacterial small subunit ribosomal RNA", at positions 527 to 896 of the family's 1533-position model. The record is from RNAcentral.